GACAGAGGGUGCAAACGUUGUUCGGAAUUACUGGGCGUAAAGCGCGUGUAGGCGACUAAGUAAGUCGGGCGUGAAAUCCCACGGCUCAACCGUGGAAGUGCACUCGAAACUGCAUAGCUAGAGUCCUGGAGAGGAAGGUGGAAUGCUUGGUGUAGAGGUGAAAUUCGUAGAUAUCAAGCGGAACACCGGUGGCGAAGGCGGCCUUCUGGACAGUGACUGACGCUGAGACGCGAAAGCGUGGGGAGCAAACAGG
This 253-nucleotide ribosomal RNA is filed under the name uncultured bacterium. RNAcentral's name for it is "partial 16S ribosomal RNA". It matches the Rfam family "Bacterial small subunit ribosomal RNA", at positions 524 to 776 of the family's 1533-position model. The record is from RNAcentral.